RNAcentral lists this transfer RNA (72 nucleotides) under Schistosoma japonicum. RNAcentral describes it as "tRNA-OTHER". The record is from RNAcentral. Lineage: Eukaryota; Metazoa; Platyhelminthes; Trematoda; Strigeidida; Schistosomatidae.
AGCUCAGUGGUCCAAUGGUAAAGCGCUCGUCGCGGAGCUAGAAAGUCAUGGGUUCGAUCCCCGACUGGGUCG